UAUAUAGCCAAAGACUCAUACGGACUUCAUCUACACCAUCAAAGCUUUGAGAAGCAAGAAGAGGCUUGGUUAGUGUUGUAGAGUCAAAUAUGACUAGAUGUCAAGUGUAUGAGUGAGUAUAACAACUAGAACCGCAACU
RNAcentral lists this small RNA (139 nucleotides) under Arabidopsis thaliana (thale cress). RNAcentral describes it as "ATSL270350". The record is from RNAcentral. Lineage: Eukaryota; Viridiplantae; Streptophyta; Magnoliopsida; Brassicales; Brassicaceae.